Molecule: non-coding RNA, 4163 nt
Organism: Cyanistes caeruleus (blue tit)
Lineage: Eukaryota; Metazoa; Chordata; Aves; Passeriformes; Paridae
Source: RefSeq, a predicted model, not a curated record
UAAGAGCAAGUGGCUGUUGUGGUAUUUAGCAGCUGCCUCCUUAAGCCACAACAGUCCUUUUUGUCACCUGCUUCGGGGCUCAAAGUACCACCAGAUGUUGUUGGAAUGUGCUGGAUCGAUUUUAUAGCUAUUAUUGCUUUUUUGCUGUUAAUUGACAGGCUCCUGUUUGCCAUAGGGCUUGCUUGCCUGAGUCUAGUGCUCAUUAGUGGCUGCUCACUGAACUGCUGUGCUGCUUAUCACCUUACUCUGCGGUGCCUGGGAACAUUUCGAUAACGGCAGUGGCAAUGUGUCGGGCUGGCAGAUGGCCAGAGCUGCUGCUGCUGUUCUGGACAGGCUGGAGCUCCAGUGUGAACUCGAGUGGAAGGGCCUGUGAUCUGUGGGUGAGCCCAUGUGGGAGCUGGGCACCCUGAGGCAUCUGUGGUCCUGGAUAAGGCCAUGCCAGAGCAGGUACAUCUUGCAGCAUCUGUGGCUGCGGUUAUGUCUGUGCCGCAGCAGCUGGACCUCGGAAGGGAUUGUGGCCCAAGGGAAUAUGUUUUUUAACUUCCUGGUGAGUUUUCUGCUGGAGUAAACCUGAAAGAAGUCAGAAAUUCAAGGAACUCAGCCCAAUUCCAACCUUUGCUGUUCAGUGUUACUUCAGAUGCAUGAAAUUAAUUGCAGGAUGGUUGCUGGAGGGACCUUCUGAGAAGUCUGGAGUGAACUUGGGCAUUUGAAAUGUUUGGUGAAAUUCUGAAAAACUCCUGCCACUGGGCCAGUCCUUUUCCUGCAAUGAGUAUGCAGACUCUUCUGACUGCACUUGUUUAGUAUGUGCUGAGCUAGGUCAACAAACGGCCUGCUUGAAAAUCCCAGGCAAGGAGUUUCCAGCAGACACUGGCAACUGCCCUCCUCAACUGGGGUCCAAUUUCCAACAGGAGCAAAGCCAAGCUCAACAACAAAGUUAAAAGCCAAACCAUGAAAAAACUGACUUCCUUACAUUGUAAAUACAUCGGAAAAGGGCAGCAGUUCAAAAGGGAAAACGAGCAAACUCUGAUUAUUUUCCUUGAAACUGAAUCCCAGGGGGUGAUUGUCCAUUGAGAUGCCCCCAGGAGAGUUGUGCUGCGCCAACAAGCAAUAGAGUUUGGGUAGGACAUGGCCAAGAGGCCUCCAAACUGUUGCACAACAGGAAUUUGGGUACAGCGUAACAAUUGGCUGAGGAAAGGGAAAACAGUUCUCAAAAACCUUAUUCCUCAGCUAAACCAGAUUCUCAGGCCAUCUUAAAGCUUAAUUUUGAUUCUUCAUCUGCGUUGGGUGGGGGUGGUUUUUCAGUGACGUGUAUGUGGUAACACACAUUGGAUGCAGUUCAAGUCAUCGUGAGAAAGUAGCUACAGGCAAAAAAUAAAAAAAAAGUCAUAAUGCUCUGAUUUAUAGUCUUGUUGUUUGGGUGCACUGAGAGCUCUGUUCAGGUUCUCCCACUUUGGAGCUCUAAAGGCACUGUAAAAUGACAAGAGGUCUUCAUCUGGCAAGUGCAAGCUCAGGGCAAACCCACCAUAAUCUUGGAAGUAACAAAAGGCCAGUGAGUAAAACUUUUCAGCCUUUAAAACCAAAGUCAAUAACAAACCUCAAUGGCCUUCAGAAUGGAAAGCAGAUGAAGUUGUUCAUCAGGGAGUACUGGGAGCAAUGGAGAUGAGCUUAUUUGUGUAUUGUAUUACUGUUAGCUGCUUUCCAGUCCGGCAUACACUCAGGAUCUCUAGGAUUUGGAAGCUGGGCAUCUGUGCUGAGGUUUCAGACCUCUCCCCCCCACCCAAAACAAAAAAAAUCUUAAAAGAAUCCACCUGGAUUAUGCUCUCUGUGGAGGCUGCUGUCAAUGGCCACUCUUCCUUCCAUUAGUUUUAUUACUGAGAACCUCCCCCUUCUGCCUCUUUGCUCCUGCUUUAAUUGAAGCUUUGCUAGCAGAUAGCCAUCAGAAAAGACAUCUGCAAUUCAAUUAGAUCUGUGCUUAAACUCCCGAUCUCUGUGAAACCGGCCGCUGCCAGAACAGCGUGCCCUCCAUGGGCUGGCUCGCUGGGGCUGCAGCCUGCGGUGCUUUGCACUUCGUCCCCCUCCUGCCCUGCUGGCCCUGCUUGCAGGUGCUUCAGACAGGACCUGUUCCCCACAGGAGGCUCGUCGGAGCUCAUUUCCUCUUCCUUGAAAAGCGGGAGAGAAGCUGGAAACUUGGCACCAUUGAGGAGUGGUGAAACCUGCUUUAUAAUGUACUGAAAUGGUUGCUGCAGAGUGGAAUCUUUCUGCCAUGGGAGGAGUGUCCAUACCAAAAGAAGUUGGACUUUUUUGCUGAUUUUGCUGAUCAGGUGUCUGAGGUGAGGUCCAAACAUUUGAGCACGCCAGGCCACUGAACCCCUGCAAGAAGCAGCUCUUUGGAAAUAUUUCCAUGACCCUAGAGGUAAAUAUUGGUCUCUAAGUGAUGUCAGGCUGGUCCCUGACACAAACCACAACCUUGUUUAUAAAUACUCCAGAAGGAUGUUACAAAGUGCUUCGGUGGUCUUGCUUAAAGCGUUUGUAAGAAGUGAUUAUAAAGACUUGCAAAAUCACAAGUGAAACAAGCCAGAAGGGCUUCUUUGUAGAAAAGAUGUAGUUGAUGAAAACCCCAGAUCUGAAGAGAAAUGAAAAGUGAAGGUGAGCAUGAAGAGUGCAUUUGGUUUGCAGCUCACUGCAAGCUACCCUGCCUUCAGGGAGAAGUGGCCCCCAGUUGAUAGAAGGGAAAACUGAAUACUUGCCUGGGAUGGGAGAAAACCGAAUGGGGGUCAGAGCAAUGCAGCUGAGUGUAGCAGAUGGGUUGGAGUGCUGUACCUGUCUGCCCCUGAGCACAGGGCUUAUCAAAGCCUUGGUGAGAAGCCUGCAGCCAUGGGCUCUCCAUCUGCCUUUCACAAUAUCGUUCUUAGUUGAAUCUUGCAGGGGAAGGCAUUAAGUCUAGCAGGGGUCCCUUUCUGUUUUAAAGAGUUGUCAGUGAGGAGGUUUAGGGCUGCUUUUCUACUGGAGCAUCCUCAAAGCCUGCGGUGUUUUAACUUGCUCCUGGACAAUCUGGGUUUUGGCAGGUGCAUGUAUGUGCCUAGAUCCCCCAGGCCAUCCAUGCCAAGCCUGUUGGAUCAGGAGGUGGAAGGCCUGUAAGACAGGUGAUACAGGAGCUUUCAGCUGCCCACCCACCCUGCCCUUCAGGAACUCCUCAUGAGGGUUAUGCCCCCAGCCACGGGUGAGGCACAUGGGGUGAGGAGAGUGCUGCGCCUCUGCACCCUGUAGCCUAGGGGGAAACACUUUCACUUUCCAUAGAUCUUCUAAUUUCAUCUCAGCAUGGAUGAUCAUAGGCAAUCUGGAGGUAAAAUUAGUAUGUGCCACAAUUCUCUUUGUGUUUCACUACACUGGUUCAGUGGCAAGCACCCCUUUAUUUAAAAAAGUUUCUUUUUGGGGAUGUGAAAGUACAGGUAUCAGUUAUUAGUAAUUUAGAGAAGAAAACAUUAUUGCAUCAAUGCUAAAAAUCUAAUGUAAAUAUAAAACACUCUGAGGAAGGCCACAGCAGUUCUCUACACAGUGAUGUACAUCCCAGGGGGAAAAAAGAAUCUUUCCAGCAAAGCCUGGCAGUUUGUGGCUGUUCCAGCUCCUGGAAGACCAACCAAUCUAGGGAAAGGUUGAAAUGAUGCUGUAUAUGAAAACUCUCAGACAUUAAUUUUCUUUUCAGAAAAAGAGAAAAGCAAACUUUAUUUUUGAUCUAAAUUUUCACAAAACUCUAUAUAUACUUCAGCGUUUGCCAAUGAAGCUACUUGCCAACAUCAGUACAGAGAAUGGAUAUAUCAGCUAUCAUCUGUGUUAGAAGCAAACCCAAGAUAAACCUUCAGUAUUGCUAAUUUCUGAUGACCUUAUUGUAAUGCCAGAUAGAUUUGAUGUUCCCAUUAAAAUGUGAUUUCCUGAAAUAAUGCUGCUCCUGUGAGGCUUGUACCUUCUAUUAAGAAUGAGUCAGCUUCUAGCCUUGGGUUUCUGGGUAAAAGAGCUGAAAAUAUCAACAAGCUGCAAUACAACAAGCUAGAAAUCAGGAAACAAAUAAAAGAGAAAAAAAAUCUAAAAUUGUUUUUUAAGAUUAAAUGACAUAUUUGGCCUGAAAUUUUGGAUAGUUUGACAACUCUGAAAUUGUGAUGCACCAA